This 497-nucleotide ribosomal RNA is filed under the name uncultured bacterium. RNAcentral describes it as "partial 16S ribosomal RNA". It matches the Rfam family "Bacterial small subunit ribosomal RNA", at positions 28 to 507 of the family's 1533-position model. The record is from RNAcentral.
GAUGAACGCUGGCGGCGUGCCUAAUACAUGCAAGUCGAGCGAACAGACGAGGAGCUUGCUCCUCUGACGUUAGCGGCGGACGGGUGAGUAACACGUGGAUAACCUACCUAUAAGACUGGGAUAACUUCGGGAAACCGGAGCUAAUACCGGAUAAUAUAUUGAACCGCAUGGUUCAAUAGUGAAAGACGGUUUUGCUGUCACUUAUAGAUGGAUCCGCGCCGCAUUAGCUAGUUGGUAAGGUAACGGCUUACCAAGGCAACGAUGCGUAGCCGACCUGAGAGGGUGAUCGGCCACACGGGAUCUGAGACACGGUCCAGACUCCUACGGGAGGCAGCAGUAGGGAAUCUUCCGCAAUGGGCGAAAGCCUGACGGAGCAACGCCGCGUGAGUGAUGAAGGUCUUCGGAUCGUAAAACUCUGUUAUUAGGGAAGAACAAAUGUGUAAGUAACUAUGCACGUCUUGACGGUACCUAAUCAGAAAGCCACGGCUAACUACGUG